This 377-nucleotide ribosomal RNA is filed under the name uncultured eukaryote. RNAcentral's name for it is "partial 18S ribosomal RNA". It matches the Rfam family "Eukaryotic small subunit ribosomal RNA", at positions 592 to 976 of the family's 1831-position model. The record is from RNAcentral.
CAAUAGCGUAUAUUUAAGUUGCUGCAGUUAAAAAGCUCGUAGUUGGAUUUCGGGUGGGAAUGGCCGGUCCGCCGUUUCGGUGUGCACUUGCUACGCCCACCUUGCUGCCGGGGACGUGCUCUUGAGUUCACGCUCGGGACACGGAGUCGGCGAGGUUACUUUGAGUAAAUUAGAGUGUUCAAAGCAGGCCUACGCUCUGAAUACAUUAGCAUGGAAUAACACGAUAGGACUCUGGCCUAUCUUGUUGGUCUGUAGGACCGGAGUAAUGAUUAAGAGGGACAGUCGGGGGCAUUCGUAUUUCAUUGUCAGAGGUGAAAUUCUUGGAUUUAUGAAAGACGAACUACUGCGGAAGCAUUUGCCAAGGAUGUUUUCAUUAA